This is a non-coding RNA of Podarcis lilfordi (Lilford's wall lizard), 69 nucleotides long. The record is from the annotation of a GenBank genome assembly. Lineage: Eukaryota; Metazoa; Chordata; Lepidosauria; Squamata; Lacertidae.
GACAGCUCAGUUGAUUAGAGCGUGGUGCUGAUAACACCAAGGUUGCAAGUUCAAUCCCUGUAUGGGACA